Molecule: long non-coding RNA, 3572 nt
Organism: Meriones unguiculatus (Mongolian gerbil)
Lineage: Eukaryota; Metazoa; Chordata; Mammalia; Rodentia; Muridae
Exons: 2
Source: RefSeq, a predicted model, not a curated record
GGCCUCUGAAUUCAGAGCUUUUCCCAGUUCAAAGGGGACUGUGAUCUUUGGCCAGCAGUUACCUUUUGCAGGCAUUAUGCCCAGGGAUGGGGCUUCAAGUUUGACUCUGAACGCUUCUCUCUUAGUCCCUUUUCCCACAGCGCCCCCAUCACCCUCCCAUUCAGAGGACACAAAGACUGCACAGGCCAGCACAAAGAACCCAUACACAAGAUAAGUAGAGGCCAUUCUGUGGGCCUCUCGCUGCUGGCUCCCGGGGAGGGAGCGCCCCUCCCGCUGCCCGGGGCGCCUGUCUGCAGCCCAGGCUGCCAGGGCACCAUGCCCGCUGCCUGGCGGGCCUUGUCUCGGGACAAUUACAACCUACUGUCACGGAGUUCGGAAUAUAGGUCAAGGUGCUCUCGGAAGGGCCCAGGAGAGGAUCACCUGACCCGGAGGUGUGGUGACUCAGCGGGAAGGAUGGAGAGGGAGGGGCGGCAUUGGAAUCUCCCUGCCGGCUGGGCCUGCAGGAGAAAGAGGAGGUCAAGUUGCCUGUCUGGCUGACUGUCAGCAGAGGAGGAAGAAGCUGCUGGAGACCGAAGGAAGGAUAAGAUGACCUGUGGCGACCUCUCUGAGGUGUCAUCCAAAUCCUCUCCUGAGCAGCUGUCAUCCUGCGAAUAGCUAAAAACCACCCGCCUCCCACUGUCUCUGCGGCUGUGAACACCUCAUUAGCCACCUCCCUGCCAAAGUGAGAAACCAAAUUAACAUCCUGGAUCAAUCCAGACUCCAUCCACCCAGAUCUCAGGAGCAACCAAGGCCACUGGCACAGCUCACAGAGGCAGCCACCCCUGUCAGAGGCAAUCUGAUUGUGUCCCUCCACCCCGACUGAAUAUGAAAAUCACUAACCCAUUUUAUUGUAGAUGUCCACAUGGCAGGAGCCUUCUUUCCGGGGAGAAGCAGCAGCUGCUUGCUCUAUCCCAGCCUCACUUCCUCUGGCUCCAGCUGCUGGUUCCUAUUCGCCAAGCGGGGAGUUUCCUCAUUCUUGGGGCUCUGGCUAGCUGAGCUGGCCACCCUCACCUCCCACCCCCAACCGCUCACCACCCUCUCUGGUAGCUCUGCCGGGACUCCCGGGUUCCAUGAGUCACACACAGCCAGGCUGGAGACAGCCAGCAGCCUUCCUUUAUUAAAUCAGCCUCCUGCCCUGCACACCACAGAGGAAAGCUAUAAUUACUGUUUGGCCCAGCUCUGAGAACUGAGCCACAGACGCUCUUUCACUGGGAGGGAAGUUCCUGAGUUGUGCAUCUAUCUAUGAACCACCACCCCUUUGGUAAUAAGCAGAACUGCCAGGGGUUAAGGACCUGUUACACAAAUAUCAGAUGUUUUGCCUUUGUAAUAGGUGCCUUGGGCUGAGAUACCCAAGGCUGAUACAGCCAGCUAUAAGUGAACUGCCAAAAGUUUGUUGUUGUUGUUUUGUUUAGAAAACAAAGACAUUCUGCUUCUUUGCCAGCGUGUAUAGUUGAUGAGACAGGCCACUCAUUGCUUUAUAAGAGAUAAUGGAAAAGACAGUAAAACAUUGCUUUGGGUGUCCAGGUUAUGGCUGUUUUAUCUUUUAGACCCAAUAGAUACAACAUAUCAGGCUUCUUAGCUUCUUGAUCAAGCUAAAGAAAUGUUUGAAGUAUGAAAAACUAGUUGGCUGAAAAAAAUUUUAAAAGCACAAAAUCAGAAUACUAAAGUCAGUCUUCACAAACUUCUCAGUUUCUCAUUCAUUCAUUCAUUCUUGCAUUUCAGUUAUCCCACAUUUUUUUUGGGGGGGAUGGCCUAUGUGGUGGGCAUCAUGAAUACAAUGAGUGCUAAGUCAACAAGAUAGGACAGAUCAGUAAUAGAUACAAUAAGAAUCUUAUAAAGAAGGAAUUUGUGAACACCUCUUGACAUUUGAGAACAAUCUGUAGGUUAGGUCUAUCUCACAGUGAGUUCUCAAAUCUUUAUGUGAUUACUGAGAAAUUACAACUAAUUAUGACUUAAAUGAGUUAUAUUUGAAAUAUUAAAAUUCCUUUAAGCUUAUAAAGCAAAAUGUGGGAACAUGAGUUAAAACAAAACAAAAAAACAAAAACAAAAAACAAAAGAGCCAAAGGCAUUUGGCCCUUCCUAUGGUUACAGACAGAAGAAACUUCAUUGAAGAAUUUACUCAGGGGGUGGGGGUGGGGCUGCUCUUGCAGAGAACUUGAGUUCAAUUCCCAGAGCCCACCUCUAUCCAGCUGCAGGGGAUUUGAUGCCUUCUUCUUGCCUUCACAUGUACACACACACACACACACACACACACACACACACACACACACAGAUAUAGUUGGACAUAGAGGUGCUUGUCUUUAAUACCAGCACUAAGAAGAGAGAGGCAGGCAAAUCUCCCUUAACUUUGAAGCCAGCCUGGUUUACAUAGUUGUAGGUUAGCCAUGGCUACAUUGUAAAACCCUGUCCCCAAAUAAAUUAAAAAAAACAAAACACAACACAACAACAACAACAACAAAAACCUGGGCUGGACUGAUGGCUCAGAGGUUAAGAAUACUUGCUGUUCUUCCAAAGGUCCUGAGUUCAAUUCCCAGCAACCACAUGGUGGCUCAUAACCAUCUAUAGUAAGAUCUGGUAUACAGGCAGAAUAUUGUAUAAAUAAUAAAUAACUCUUUUAAAAACAAAAAGCUUAAACCGUUGAAAAAGAACUUAUUUGGCACCUGUCCUACAAUUGUUAAGAACUUCAGUGUCAAGUACAGAGCCUGGCUUUAUCAUUUACUGCUUUUGUGAUUCUGGAAAAGAUUCUGUACUUUCACCCCUAUCUAUAAAAUGGGGAGUUAAAUGCAACCUACCUUCUAGGGCUUAUGAGUGGAUGAGUGAUAUAAUAAUAAGAGAAGAGGGGUUAUUUAACAUAGCACCUGGCACUUAGUAAACGGAAUAAGUGUUAUCCAUAAUUAUUGUGUUAUUUUUGUUUUCACGGAGAUAAUGAAGAGCUACCAGCCACUAUAGUAGAUAAUACAGAGUCAGCUUAAAUGAGAGAAUGAUGCGGUGCCAACUGGGAGAGACCUCACAGGCAUAUUGUGCUUCAUUCAAUUCUCAAGGUCCCCAGUGAACCACCAACGGCUGCAAAUCUUAUUCCGACAGUCAGUAAACACAACGUGAACACAUCGACUUACCUUUUAGUACCCUUCCUAUUGGGAAGAGUACCAAGCAAUGAAAGGAUACAAAUCAACAAGGUCAUUGCUAUCUGAAUUGUAAAUUGGUUAAAUUCAUACUGUUUUUCCAAGAGACCUGUAUAAAAAUCCCAGAUCAACUCAUUCAUCGUAAUGGAAAGCUGGUGAUGCAGCUGUCCAUUGGUGGGAGAAUAACUAUGCAUGGAACAUAAGAGGAACUACAACGGAACAGCAGAAACAAAUGGAACACGACUCUACACAACAGCAUGCAUGAAUUCUACCAGCCUAGCAGUAUAAGGGAAGCAUGCAUUCCAGAAAGCUACAUGUAAUGGGGUAUUCUUCUAAGAGAGGGGGGGGAAACCCAAAACAGUAUUUCGUUUAGAAAAAUGUAUGAAAUAAAAACAAAAGAAUAAAAGCAAA